UAGUAGCAUAUCUAUUUAUAUUUGAAAGGAUUAUCUACUUGGUUUGUCUUUUUUUGCUUCACAAGUAUUAUUUAAUUGAUUUUUUAAAGGAAUAUUUUUUUCUUCAAUCUCCUGAGGGAAAUUUACCCAUGAUUCCACAGUUUUUCCCAGGAUACACUUCUGCAAAGCCCCUCCUAUCUCCUCACUCCCAGGUUUGAGACUACAGGGAGAAGGAGCCAUUUUACAGUCAGCUCUGUGGAAUCGUUUUUUUAGGAUUAUUCCUGCGUUUUAAAACACAUUCCUAUUUUUGUACUGACUACAAUAAUGGAGCCUUUUUCUGACCAGAUUGUGAUGUUCAUGCUGGCUGCAAGCAUGAUGGAGGAAGAAAGUGCUGAUGAACAUCAGGAUCCAGGUCAGCAAAUGUCUGCAUUGGGUGAGCCAGUAUUGCGGGUUUCAUUUCCACGUCCACGCCAGUAUCGCACUAGGCGUGAACUGGAGGAUCUCAGCGAGUUCGAGGUGAUACAAAAUUAUCGCUUAUCGACUCGCGACAUAUAUUCGCUGUACACUCUGUUGGAGGCCGACUUGGAACCUCGGGCACGGACAAAUCGUGCAAUCAGCGGUUUUCAGAAACUGCUGGGGACGUUACAUUUUUUGGCGUCAGGCACAUUCCAGCCUACACUGUCUCAAACAUGCGAUUUUUCACAGUCGACACUGUCGCGCUGUAUAACCCAGGUCAUUAGGGCUUUCCGCAAAUUGACGAUCCAGUACAUCACAUUUCCAGAGACGGACAGCGAAUGUCGUGAGAUCAAAUUAGGCUUUUUCAACAAAUACAAAUUUCCCAAUGUGCUGGGCGCGAUUGACUGUACCCACGUGCAGAUCAGACCGCCACGGAAUUCAGAGGAAUGUUUUCGGAACCGAAAACAGUUCCAUUCCCUGAACGUGCAGGCGGUCUGUGAUGUAAACAUGAGAUUUUUGAACAUUUUUGUGGGAUUUCCUGUAUCAUCUCACGACUCCUUCAUCCUAAGCCAGUCAUCGCUGUUUGACAAGUUCGAAACAGGAAACAUGCCUGGUGGCUGGCUGUUAGGCGAUGCAGGUUAUCCAAACAAACCGUGGCUGUUGACCCCAUUGUCUAAUCCUGUUGGUAGAGCAGAAAAACGUUACCAAGAGACACACAUUGCAUCGAGGCAAAUAAUUGAACGUGCCUUCGGUGUACUUAAAAGCCGGUUUCGAUGUUUAGACACUUCCGGCGGUGCUCUUUUGUACUCACCGUCGAAGGUUUGCGGCAUGGUAAAUGCAUGUUGUAUUUUACACAACAUAUGUGUCGCAAACCGUUUGCCGGUGACUUUUCGUCGCAGUGCUUUCCGACGCGGGAACCGGUCUUCUGCUCUACCGGUGGGUAUGGACGAAGGAGAGGAUUCCCGGCGGACAUUGAUCCAAAAUUAUUUUGCAGUUGCCUAGUUUUACAUCCUGUUGAUGUAUAUCCCCAGGCCAUGUUUGUACAGUUCGUUACCCCGUUUUAUCCUGUUGUUGGGUUACCGCAAAUAUUUGAUCCUUUUAUCCAACUCUACCAUGGGUGACCCUACUGGUGAUGUGGACCUGACCCUCUGCCAUGUAGCAGACAACCCCCCCUCAGGUCCUGCGAUGUAUCUUCCCAAGUGGCGUGGAUGUGAGGAGACACGACAUUUCACCUGAUGUUCCAUGGGUGACCCUACUGGUGAUGUGGACCUGACCCUCCGCCAUGUAGCAGACAGCCCCCCUCAGGUCCUGCGAUGUAUCUUCCCAAGUGGCGUGGAUGUGAGGAGACACGACAUUUCACCUGAUGUUCCAUGGGUGACCCUACUGGUGAUGUGGACCUGACCCUCCGCCAUGUAGCAGACAACCCCCCUCAGGUCCUGCGAUGUAUCUUCCCAAGUGGCGUGGAUGUGAGGAGACACGACAUUUCACCUGAUGUUCCAUGGGUGACCCUACUGGUGAUGUGGACCUGACCCUCCGCCAUGUAGCAGACAACCCCCCUCAGGUCCUGCGAUGUAUCUUCCCAAGUGGCGUGGAUGUGAGGAGACACGACAUUUCACCUGAUGUUCCAUGGGUGACCCUACUGGUGAUGUGGACCUGACCCUCCGCCAUGUAGCAGACAACCCCCCUCAGGUCCUGCGAUGUAUCUUCCCAAGUGGCGUGGAUGUGAGGAGACACGACAUUUCACCUGAUGUUCCAUGGGUGACCCUACUGGUGAUGUGGACCUGAUCCUCCGCCAUGUAGCAGACAACCCCCCUCAGGUCUUCCGGUGUAUCCUUCCUAAGUGGUGUGGAUGUGAAGAGACAGUUCCCUUGAUGUUCCCUGGGCAAUCUACUUACGUACAAUUCAAAUGCAUUACAAAUUUUAAUAAAAACCACAGGAAACUUCUAUUUUUAAAAGUUUAUUGAAGAAAAAUAUUUUUUAAUAAAGUUUGAAAGUUAAUUAAAAC
Molecule: RNA transcript, 2440 nt
Organism: Pseudophryne corroboree (corroboree frog)
Lineage: Eukaryota; Metazoa; Chordata; Amphibia; Anura; Myobatrachidae
Gene name: putative nuclease HARBI1
Exons: 9
Source: RefSeq, a predicted model, not a curated record